This 244-nucleotide ribosomal RNA is filed under the name uncultured bacterium. RNAcentral's name for it is "partial 16S ribosomal RNA". It matches the Rfam family "Bacterial small subunit ribosomal RNA", at positions 524 to 776 of the family's 1533-position model. The record is from RNAcentral.
GACAGAGGUGCCAAGCGUUAGGCGGAAUCACUGGCUUAAAGCGUGUGUAGGCGGACUGGUAAGUACCUUGUGAAAGCCACGGCUCAACCGUGGAGGUCAUUGGAAACUGGGGACUUGAGUACAGAAGAGAAGAGUGGAAUUCCACGUGUAGCGGUGAAAUGCGUAGAGAUGUGGAGGAACACCAGUGGCGAAGGCGACUCUUGGUCUGUAACUGACGCUGAGCGCGAAGCGUGGAGCGAUCCGG